Molecule: ribosomal RNA, 253 nt
Filed under: uncultured bacterium
Lineage: Bacteria
Description: partial 16S ribosomal RNA
Rfam family: Bacterial small subunit ribosomal RNA
Source: RNAcentral
UACGUAGGGUGCGAGCGUUGUCCGGAAUUACUGGGCGUAAAGAGCUCGUAGGUGGUUUGUCGCGUUGUUAGUGAAAUCUCACGGCUUAACUGUGAGCGUGCGGGCGAUACGGGCAGACUGGAGUACUGCAGGGGAGACUGGAAUUCCUGGUGUAGCGGUGAAAUGCGCAGAUAUCAGGAGGAACACCGGUGGCGAAGGCGGGUCUCUGGGCAAUAACUGACGCUGAGGAGCGAAAGCGUGGGGAGCGAACAGG